UCUCUCUUCCUUCGCCACUUUCUUUUCCUCUAAUUCCUUGCACCCAUCUAUUUCCAUCUUCUCUCAACCCUUGCUUCUCUUCCUCUCUCUCUCCCUUGUCCUUUGCUUUCUGGUUGUCUUUCUCUCACUACAUACUCUAAUCUCACUCUCCCUCUCAUCUCCAUCUUUCGUUUUUUUUUUUUUUGCUCUCAUUCUAUUUCUCCUGGUCUCUCAUCGCCAGCUUACACUCUUCCUUUCAGUUAAGGUUCUCUCUCUUCUCAGUGGCCUUCUAGCACCUAAUCCUCUGCUACUCCACCACCUAUCACAGCCGUUCACCUUCUUCCACCCUUCUGCAACCUCUCGCAGCACCGUCUCUCUUGAUCACCUGUUGCGACCACAACAGUCACCUCCGCCUUC
RNAcentral lists this long non-coding RNA (396 nucleotides) under Amborella trichopoda. RNAcentral describes it as "long non-coding RNA (ATRI_LNC000953)". The record is from RNAcentral. Lineage: Eukaryota; Viridiplantae; Streptophyta; Magnoliopsida; Amborellales; Amborellaceae.